GACGAACGCUGGCGGCGUGCUUAACACAUGCGAGUCGAACGGAAAGGCCCUGCUUUUGUGGGGUGCUCGAGUGGCGAACGGGUGAGUAACACGUGAGUAACCUGCCCUUGACUUUGGGAUAACUUCAGGAAACUGGGGCUAAUACCGGAUAGGAGCUCCUGCUGCAUGGUGGGGGUUGGAAAGUUUCGGCGGUUGGGGAUGGACUCGCGGCUUAUCAGCUUGUUGGUGGGGUAGUGGCUUACCAAGGCUUUGACGGGUAGCCGGCCUGAGAGGGUGACCGGCAACAUUGGGACUGAGAUACGGCCCAGACUCCUACGGGAGGCAGCAGUGGGGAAUAUUGCACAAUGGGCGGAAGCCUGAUGAAGCAACGCCGCGUGCGGGAUGACGGCCUUCGGGUUGUAAACCGCUUUCGCCUGUGACGAAGCGUGAGUGACGGUAAUGGGUAAAGAAGCACCGGCUAACUACGUG
RNAcentral lists this ribosomal RNA (468 nucleotides) under uncultured bacterium. Its description in RNAcentral is "partial 16S ribosomal RNA". It matches the Rfam family "Bacterial small subunit ribosomal RNA", at positions 28 to 507 of the family's 1533-position model. The record is from RNAcentral.